AGUGAACGCUGGCGGUAGGCCUAACACAUGCAAGUCGAACGGCAGCACAGUAAGAGCUUGCUCUUAUGGGUGGCGAGUGGCGGACGGGUGAGGAAUACAUCGGAAUCUACUUUUUCGUGGGGGAUAACGUAGGGAAACUUACGCUAAUACCGCAUACGACCUACGGGUGAAAGCAGGGGAUCUUCGGACCUUGCGCGAUUGAAUGAGCCGAUGUCGGAUUAGCUAGUUGGCGGGGUAAAGGCCCACCAAGGCGACGAUCCGUAGCUGGUCUGAGAGGAUGAUCAGCCACACUGGAACUGAGACACGGUCCAGACUCCUACGGGAGGCAGCAGUGGGGAAUAUUGGACAAUGGGCGCAAGCCUGAUCCAGCCAUACCGCGUGGGUGAAGAAGGCCUUCGGUUUGUAAAGCCCUUUUGUUGGGAAAGAAAAGCAGCAGGUUAAUACCCCGCUGUUCUGACGGUACCCAAAGAAUAAGCACCGGCUAACUUCGUG
RNAcentral lists this ribosomal RNA (492 nucleotides) under uncultured bacterium. Its description in RNAcentral is "partial 16S ribosomal RNA". It matches the Rfam family "Bacterial small subunit ribosomal RNA", at positions 29 to 507 of the family's 1533-position model. The record is from RNAcentral.